Molecule: ribosomal RNA, 449 nt
Filed under: uncultured bacterium
Lineage: Bacteria
Description: partial 16S ribosomal RNA
Rfam family: Bacterial small subunit ribosomal RNA
Source: RNAcentral
ACCCAGACUCCUACGGGAGGCAGCAGUGGGGAAUAUUGGGCAAUGGGCGCAAGCCUGACCCAGCAAUGCCGCGUGAAGGAAGAAGGCCUUCGGGUUGUAAACUUCUUUUAUCAGGGACGAAGGAUGUGACGGUACCUGAUGAAUAAGCUCCGGCUAACUACGUGCCAGCAGCCGCGGUAAUACGUAGGGAGCAAGCGUUAUCCGGAUUUAUUGGGUUUAAAGGGUGCGUAGGCGGUUUUUUAAGUUAGUGGUUAAACGUCGGGGCUUCACCUUGAUUUGCCAUUAAUACUGUAAGACUCGAGUUCAGACGAGGUAGGCGGAAUAAGUUAAGUAGCGGUGAAAUGCUUAGAUAUAACUUAGAACUCCGAUAGCGAAGGCAGCUUACCAGACUGCGACUGACGCUGAAGCACGAGAGCGUGGGUAGCGAACAGGAUUAGAUACCCGUGUAA